GAUGAAGAACGUAGCGAAAUGCGAUAAGUAAUGCGAAUUGCAGAAUUUCCGUGAGUCAUCGAAUCUUUGAACGCACAUUGCGCCCACUGGUAUUCCGGUGGACAUACCUGUUCGAGCGUCAUUAUCCUCCCUCAAACCCCGGGUUUGGUGUUGGACCGAAGUUGUGUGAACAACUGGUCUAAAAAACAAUGACGGCGUCCGUGGGACCCUCGGUGCAACGAGCUUUUAGGAGCACGCGCCGAGUUGCAAGGACCUUCCGGGCCGGUCUCCUUUUACUAUUUUACAAGGUUGACCUCGGAUCAGGUAGGAAUACCCGCUGAACUUAAGCAUAUCAAUAAGCGGAGGA
RNAcentral lists this unclassified non-coding RNA (346 nucleotides) under soil metagenome. RNAcentral describes it as "partial contains 5.8S ribosomal RNA, internal transcribed spacer 2, and large subunit ribosomal RNA". The stretch from base 1 to 121 matches the Rfam family "5.8S ribosomal RNA", at positions 35 to 154 of the family's 154-position model. The record is from RNAcentral.